UCUCACACAGUUUGAUAAAUCUGGGCUAACUAUAUGGAAACCUGGUAAUUGGUCCUGAAGCCCCAAAAUGUCAUCCAAAAAUAGGAAAAAGUGAGGAUGAAAGAAAAAUAAGUGAUAAACUAAUAUAGAUAAAGCAAAUCCUUCCAUAUGAAAGUAAUGAAGAUCUGCUGGGAGCUGUAAUCACUGUCUAUGUAGAGGACAGGAGCUUCUUCAGGGUCCUAAAAAAGUAAUGGAGCCGCCCUCACCUGGUGUCCAAAGGAGCAGCUAACCCUGGUACAGGUUCUGUGGAGACGAGUUGUGGUUGGAAGAAAUCAUCAUGACGGUCUGGGCCGGAUGGAGAAGAAAAGACUGCAGCAUGAAAACAGAGAGGAGGGGGUUACAGAGCAGCCUGCAGUGAUUGGAUGAAGAGAUCCGGCACAACAGACUCAGGGAGGAAAAGUCAUGGAGAAUAAGGACACCCCCCCCUUCAAAGCACAGGAUGAAAAACCAAAUGAGAAACAGAAAAAAGGUUGUCUUCCCAGAAGUAGUGUUUAGAGGGGGUCCAAUGUUCGGGGACCCCGAUCUUUUAGCAAGCAGAUCUUGCUCUGAUGGACCUGAUUUAUCCAAGUAUUACAUGACCAUAGAAAUGUUGAAAAUGCAACGCACUCGGUCACCAGUAGAAUGGCGAAGGUGAGACGGCGUGAUACACUGUCGCGCGGCGAUAACAAUGACUAUAUAGCUUCGUGCAAAGAACAUUGGCAUUACAGGAAUACAUAUAAUGGAAUGCAGCAGGUGACAAC
Long non-coding RNA from Hyla sarda, 779 nucleotides. RefSeq lists it as uncharacterized. NCBI's taxonomy places the organism in Eukaryota, Metazoa, Chordata, Amphibia, Anura, Hylidae. The transcript is spliced from 5 exons. The record is from RefSeq and is a predicted model, not a curated record.